RNAcentral lists this ribosomal RNA (654 nucleotides) under Staphylococcus haemolyticus. RNAcentral's name for it is "bacterial SSU rRNA". It matches the Rfam family "Bacterial small subunit ribosomal RNA", at positions 877 to 1533 of the family's 1533-position model. Lineage: Bacteria; Bacillati; Bacillota; Bacilli; Caryophanales; Staphylococcaceae. The record is from RNAcentral.
GGAGUACGGUCGCAAGAUUAAAACUCAAAGGAAUUGACGGGGACCCGCACAAGUAGCGGAGCAUGUGGUUUAAUUCGAAGCAACGCGAAGAACCUUACCUACACUUGACAUCCCUUGCAUUACUCUUAAUCGAGGAAAUCCCUUCGGGGACAAGGUGACAGGUGGUGCAUGGUUGUCGUCAGCUCGUGUCGUGAGAUGUUGGGUUAAGUCCCGCAACGAGCGCAACCCUUGUCGUUAGUUACUACCAUUAAGUUGAGGACUCUAGCGAGACUGCCUGGGUUAACCAGGAGGAAGGUGGGGAUGACGUCAAAUCAUCAUGCCCCUUAUGUGUAGGGCUACACACGUGCUACAAUGGCUGGUACAGAGAGAUGCAAUACCGCGAGGUGGAGCCAAACUUAAAAACCAGUCUCAGUUCGGAUUGUAGGCUGAAACUCGCCUACAUGAAGCUGGAGUUACUAGUAAUCGCGAAUCAGAAUGUCGCGGUGAAUACGUUCCCGGGUCUUGUACACACCGCCCGUCACACCAUGAGAGUUGGCAAUACCCGAAGUCCGUGAGCUAACCGCAAGGAGGCAGCGGCCGAAGGUAGGGUCAGCGAUUGGGGUGAAGUCGUAACAAGGUAGCCGUAGGAGAACCUGCGGCUGGAUCACCUCCUUU